GUGCCAGCAGCUGCGGUGAUACGUAGGGUGCGAGCGUUGUCCGGAAUUAUUGGGCGUAAAGAGCUCGUAGGCGGCUUGUCGCGUCGGAAGUGAAAACUCGGGGCUCAACCCCGAGCCUGCUUCCGAUACGGGCAGGCUAGAGGAAGGUAGGGGAGAAUGGAACUCCUGGUGGAGCGGUGGAAAUGCGCAGAUAUCAGGAAGAACACCAGUGGCGAAGGCAGUUCUCUGGACCUUUCCUGACGCUGAGGAGACGAAAGCGGUAGGGAG
This 267-nucleotide ribosomal RNA is filed under the name uncultured Propionibacteriaceae bacterium. Its description in RNAcentral is "partial 16S ribosomal RNA". It matches the Rfam family "Bacterial small subunit ribosomal RNA", at positions 505 to 768 of the family's 1533-position model. Lineage: Bacteria; Bacillati; Actinomycetota; Actinomycetes; Propionibacteriales; Propionibacteriaceae. The record is from RNAcentral.